This 490-nucleotide ribosomal RNA is filed under the name uncultured bacterium. RNAcentral describes it as "partial 16S ribosomal RNA". It matches the Rfam family "Bacterial small subunit ribosomal RNA", at positions 29 to 507 of the family's 1533-position model. The record is from RNAcentral.
AGUGAACGCUGGCGGCAGGCCUAACACAUGCAAGUCGAACGGCAGCACAAGAGAGCUUGCUCUCUGGGUGGCGAGUGGCGGACGGGUGAGGCAUGCAUCGGAAUCUGCCCAUUUGUGGGGGAUAACCUCGGGAAACCGGGACUAAUACCGCAUACGACCUAAGCGUGAAAGCAGGGGAUCUUAGGACCUUGCGCAGAUGGAUGAGCCGAUGCCGGAUUAGCUAGUUGGAGGGGUAAAGGCCCACCAAGGCGACGAGCCGUAGCUGGUCUGAGAGGAUGAUCAGCCACACUGGAACUGAGACACGGCCCAGACUCCUACGGGAGGCAGCAGUGGGGAAUAUUGGACAAUGGGCGCAAGCCUGAUCCAGCCAUGCCGCGUGUGUGAAGAAGGCCUUCGGGUUGUAAAGCACUUUUGUUGGGAAAGAAAAGCAGCCGGUUAAUACCCGGUUGUCAUGACGGUACCCAAAGAAUAAGCACCGGCUAACUUCGUG